GAAGCACCAGCGAGAGGAGAAGAAUUCAAAUUCAUUUUCCACAUACCUCUGCCAAAGGAAUCUAUCUGAAUCACGAAUGUGGCCGUCCUAACCUAGUUUGCCACCUCAUGGAAGUAAGAAAGCAAAAGAACAAGAUUCACACUUAACAGCUGGUUUUAGAUGUGGAUGUUAACAUUACCGAGACCAAGGAGAACAGUUCAAUUUGCUGUAAUAAAGCAGCUCACAGUGCUUCUCUGGAAAGGAUAAUAACUUGGCCAAGUUCACCCAGUAAGAAGGAAGGGGA
Pongo pygmaeus (Bornean orangutan) is the source of this 283-nucleotide long non-coding RNA. RefSeq lists it as uncharacterized. NCBI's taxonomy places the organism in Eukaryota, Metazoa, Chordata, Mammalia, Primates, Hominidae. The record is from RefSeq and is a predicted model, not a curated record. The transcript is spliced from 3 exons.